UAGUUUCAGUUAUGCAAGAUGAGUAAGUUCUAGAAAAUCCACUCUACACUAUAGUGCAUAUAGUUAAUAAUACUGUUCUGCAUAUUCCAAAACUUGUUAAGAAUGUAGAUCUUGUAUUAAAUGUUCUAAUCACAAAAAAGAGGGGAGGAGGAGAUGUUUAGAGGUGAUAGUUAUGUUUAUGGCAGUGUUUAUUGUGGUGACAGUUUCAUGGCCGUAUACUUACUUUCAAACUCAUCCAGGUAAAUAUGUACAGCUUUCUUUGUAUAUCAAGCAUACUGAAUUUAAAAAUAUUGUUUAAAAGGACACUGAUAUUACUAAUAACAGUUUGGCACACAGUUGUGAGAUUUUGGUGCUUUGUUACAUUGCUGCUGCCUGAAAUCUGUUGGCAAGUCAAAUUUGUCUUCCUCCACUUAUUUAAUUUCUUUGUUGUAGCUUUGGACUGUUCGGGUAUGUUUACACCUUCCACAAUACGGUUAGAUAAAAGUGAGGGCACGCUGGAUGAUUGCUACCACUGGAUUCUCUUUAAAAAAGAAAAGCAACCCCAGAACAUAGGCCAUUUUUUGUUUUGGGUGUUUUUUUUUCCAUACAGAGAGCUGAGACAGGCUUAUGUGUGAAUGUUAAAUUUAAGGAUAAUGAUCAUUGUGUCUGUCCAUAAGUAAGCAUUUUGGGAGAUCCAAAAUAAAACUGCAGUCAUUGAUAUUCAUUUCUUCUUUCUUUCAUUCAGAUGUAUUGCCUGCCUGUGCCUUGUAAUGUGUUAGAGGCUAAGGACAAAAGCAAUGAGGCAGGGAAUCUGCUCUCAAGAUGGUGACAGACUUGUAGCUGAGUAUGCAUGAUUCACUACGAUGGGUACAGUAAUAGCACACAGCAGCCCACAUGAAAGGAGCGCAUUGCCAUGCCAGGGGCCCGCGAGGAGCUUAAAGAGGAGACCUCAGACAGUAAAAGUCAUAGAGAUGAUUAAUUUUGUUAAUGGCUCCAGGAUGGACUCUAUUACUAUACUAUAACUGUAAUACCAGGCCAUCUGAACAGAAUUGUUUAUUUGUCUUAUAUUAUGAAUGUCUGUGAUUCUUUUUUUUUUAAACGCUUCACGAAUUUUUGUGUCAUCCUUGCGCAGGGGCCAUGCUAAUCUUCUCUGUGUCGUUCCGAUUCUGGUGUAUGUGCUGCCGAAGUGAGCACUGAAUGUCUGAUUCUUGGCAGUGUAUAUUCCUGAUGUGCUCUUAGCAAAUGUCAAGAACUUCACUGGGCUCAAUCACAUACGUCAUGGGAGGAUGAUGACCAUCAAACAAGAGGUUUCUGGAACUCUCUCCCAGUAACUCAUUCCGCCUAUUCCCAUCUCACCAGUCAUCAGGUUGGAAACCCUAAAUUGGAUGAACUAGUCUAUUCCAUUUCUGAUAUUUAUUAGGAAUCUGUGGAUCAGGAAUUGGACUGGAUUCAGCUGGUGGUCCUGCUUCAUAUAACUUUGGCUGGGCUCACUCAUGGGACUGUGUUCAGCUGGGAGUUUGGUUGGUGCUGGAGUGUUCAAGGUGUCUUCAGGCCUCUCUCCACUGGUCUCCAGCAGAGCAAGGAAACUUCUUACAUGGCAGCUGACUUCCAAGAUGGAAGACCAGCCUUGGGAAUUACAUAUCACUUCUGUCACAUUUCAUUGGUCAAAAUAGCUCACAGAGCCAGCACAGAUUCAAAGACAGAGGAAACAUACACCACUUCUUAUUGGGGGAAUGGCAAGGUCACGAUGCAGAAGAGCAUGUGGGAGGGGUGAUAUCAUUGCAGCAAUCUUUGGAACCAUGAACUACUGUACAGACCUGUUUUAUGUUAGCUCUUAAUCCACUAUAAACCAUAGUUGUGGGCAGUAGUAACGAAUCUAGUAUUAGUUUAUUUGUUUUCUCUCUGUGUCUGUCUGCUUUUUACUAAUCAGUACCUCAGCUCUAAAGGAGGUUUUGAACUAUAAUCCUGAGUUUCAUGAGUGUCCAUCAGUAUUUUCAGUUCCAAGGCACAGGAAGUGAUUCUGGCUAGCUUUAGCAGAAGGGAAUUUUUGUUGGUUUACCAGUUAGUUCAUAGAAGAUAGGAAGGUUGGAGAACUAGACUCAGAACAUGGACAGAACCUAAGGAAGACUGGGUGGAAGGCAUAUCCACAGUGACUCCAUCAUGACAUUCUGGGCGGGGCACCACUGCUGGCACUGCACACACUGCACAGUGGACACGGCUGCCAUGGGGCUCUUACUGCCACCAUGCCUGUGCCAAAGGCUUUGAUUCUUUCUCUUAUGGCUCCAAGUCCUAAGAACAAUCAAUUGCCCAGUCUAUUUGCUCCCUCAUUGACCAGGAAGUGGGGAGAGGGUCCUUUACACUUCAGAGGUUGGGGCUGAGGGUCAAUAAAUUGUCCUGAUCUGACCUCAACCCCUAUUCACUCUGCUGUAGCCUCAAUGCAAAACACCAAGCAUCCUACUGCCUCAGGGCAUUUGUACAUGCUAUUUUCACAUCUAAAGUGCUCUUUCCCAAAUGUCUGCAUGACUCUCUCUCACCUUAUUCAAAUCUUUAUACAAACAUCAUUUUCUCAUAAGGCCUUCCAAUAGCUAUUCUAUCUAAAAUUGUAAGGCUUUACCCCACACUUCCUAUCCCUUAUCCCUGCUUUUUUUUUUACUUUUUAGGUCUUAACUUUAUCUAACAUAGUGUCUGUAUAUAUUUUCUUUCCCCCUAGGAUAUAAGCUCCACGGGGGCAAGAAUUUUAGUCUGCUUUGUUCAAUAUUGUGUCCCCAGCAUCUAGAACAGAGGCUGGAAAGUAGUAAGUGUUCAAUAAAUAUGUCUUCCUUAAAAUGAAUGUAGAGCCAGUAUCUACUCGAUCCCUUUGAAAUCCCUUUGGAAC
Long non-coding RNA from Globicephala melas (long-finned pilot whale), 2854 nucleotides. RefSeq lists it as uncharacterized. The record is from RefSeq and is a predicted model, not a curated record. NCBI's taxonomy places the organism in Eukaryota, Metazoa, Chordata, Mammalia, Artiodactyla, Delphinidae.